This 253-nucleotide ribosomal RNA is filed under the name uncultured bacterium. RNAcentral describes it as "partial 16S ribosomal RNA". It matches the Rfam family "Bacterial small subunit ribosomal RNA", at positions 524 to 776 of the family's 1533-position model. The record is from RNAcentral.
UACAGAGGGGGCAAGCGUUGUUCGGAAUUACUGGGCGUAAAGGGCGCGUAGGCGGCCCUCUAAGUCAGACGUGAAAUCCCUCGGCUCAACCGGGGAACUGCGUCUGAUACUGGAUGGCUUGAGAUCGGGAGAGGGAUGCGGAAUUCCAGGUGUAGCGGUGAAAUGCGUAGAUAUCUGGAGGAACACCGGUGGCGAAGGCGGCAUCCUGGACCGACACUGACGCUGAGGAGCGAAAGCCAGGGGAGCAAACGGG